CCAGUUUAUUCCAUUAAUAAAUGUCAUAAAAAUAAAGGAAGGGAAACAGUUAUAGUUUCAGGAGACAUGUCCACCAAGUGCAACGUGGAACUUGUUUGGAUCCUGAUAUGAAUAAGUCAUUUGUAAAAAGACAUUUUAAACAUGAAUGAUACUUUAUAAAAGUACAAUGUUAACUAUUAAUAUUGCUAAUUACAAUCUUAUACUGCCUAUUUAGAAAAGGCAAGAGAAUCAAUUGGAAAACUAACAGAAUUAAUUAGCAUUGUGAUUAAAUACAAGAUAAAAAUUAUGGCAUUCAGACAUACUAUUAAUCACUUGUUAGAAGCUAACAAUUCCCGAUAGCUACACAAAAAAUCCAAAAUACUUAGAAAUAAUUUUACAAAGAAAUAUAUGUUAGCAGUUUGAAGAAAACUAUAGAACUUAUACUGAUAGAUACAAAUACUUAAAUUAACUGAGAACUAGAGUAAGGAACUCUGUUUUAUACUCUCUCCCCAUUGCCUUAAUAAUCGUUAAACAUUAAACAUGCUUUAACUUAUCUUACAAUACACCCAUUCUUUAUUCUCUUAUGAAUUUUUUAAUCAUUAGCAUAUGAUAGGUAAUUUGAUUAUUUGUUUAUUUUAGUAAAAAUGUCUCUAUUGGGAAUCCCAAAGUCAUUAACUAAGUAUGUGAUUACAGAAUCACUUCAUUAUUAGCUGUUGGAUAAAGAAUCAUAACUGGAUCCUUUUGCUUUUAAUGAUUUGGGAUUUGCUAAUCCAUUUCUGAACUGUUUAGGAUUAGGAAGUUGUUACAGCCUCAUAAAGUUUUAUUAUGGGGGCCACAGCCUUUAUCAUUUCCUAUGGCUUAGCCUCAUUAAACAGUUCUGUUUGCCUAAUUCUCACCACUAACAUACAUGCAGCAGCCUAUCAUUUGUAAGGCUCCCACCACCAGCAGCAACCUGAUGAUUGCAAGUCAGCUUAGGGAAUCUUGUUGUCCUGGCCAUUCCAGUUACCCCAACUUGAGUAUUUACGGUGAUUACCUUGUCCAAUUAUAAUCUAAUCAUAGAAGGAAUUAAUGCCAUAAUCAUAGGCCAUUUCUCUCUCUACAUAUUUAUCAUACCAUAAAAGGACAUCACAUUGAAUCAAUUAAACUCUAAUAUGUGAAUAUAUUCCAAUAAUCUUCUACAGCAUCCCUGAGCUCACAGUAAACUCUCAAUUUAUUAUUGGUUCAGUUACUUACAAAUUAAAUAAAACAUAUGUUUGUGAACUAGACAUAAGUUUACACUUUUUAUAAACCAAGAGAUUUUCCGAGAACUGUACAGAGAAUAUGCAU
RNAcentral lists this long non-coding RNA (1305 nucleotides) under Equus caballus (horse). RNAcentral describes it as "lncRNA (ENSECAG00000056755.1)". The record is from RNAcentral. Lineage: Eukaryota; Metazoa; Chordata; Mammalia; Perissodactyla; Equidae.